UACAGAGGUCUCAAGCGUUGUUCGGAUUCAUUGGGCGUAAAGGGUGCGUAGGCGGCGCGGUAAGUCUGAUGUUAAAGAUCAGGGCUCAACCCUGGGACUGCAUUGGAUACUGGCAGACUGGAGUGUGGUAGAGGUAAGUGGAAUUUCUGGUGUAGCGGUGAAAUGCGUAGAUAUCAGGAAGAACACCAGUGGCGUAGGCGACUUACUGGGCCAUAACUGACGCUGAGGAACGAAAGCCAGGGGAGCAAAUGGG
RNAcentral lists this ribosomal RNA (253 nucleotides) under uncultured bacterium. Its description in RNAcentral is "partial 16S ribosomal RNA". It matches the Rfam family "Bacterial small subunit ribosomal RNA", at positions 524 to 776 of the family's 1533-position model. The record is from RNAcentral.